Molecule: long non-coding RNA, 1016 nt
Organism: Xenopus laevis (African clawed frog)
Lineage: Eukaryota; Metazoa; Chordata; Amphibia; Anura; Pipidae
Exons: 3
Source: RefSeq, a predicted model, not a curated record
UUCAACUUCAGCUCCUUCCAUGGCUUUGGUUCUUUUCGCGGCUUCAGGAGGACUUCAACUUUGGCUCCUUUCAUGACUUCAGGGCUUUUCACGGCUUUGGGACUUCGGACAGGUGGGACAUCAGCAGGUGCGGUAUGGUUUCGGCGCUGUCAAGGGGGCCCACCUAUUUUGAAAAGUGCAGCACAGCCGGGCCCCCCUUUAGGCCUGGGCCAGUACAGCAGUACCCCGUGUGCCCCUCUGAUGGCUGCCCUGCUUGCUGCAGAGCGUGUCCUUACAUUGUGGUGCUUAUAAGGCACAUAUCGGAUUAUUUGGAGCAAAGACUGGAGAAACAGCGACGGUAGAGUCAACGGACUAUGCAGGUGGCACAUAGAUUAAAUGACACUGAAACAUUCCUUAAAAGUUAUAUCUUAUCAACUUACCCCACAGGCCGCUCAUGUUUAAAGCAAUUAAACUGACAAUAUUACAUAAACCCUACAUUUACUAUAUAUUUAGACCCAUUAAGUCCAAGCUCUCUACCCCUGGCAGCCACUGCAAAGAAUACAGAUUGAGUUUUGAGUACUCUAUCACCAAGUGUAUUAUUUACACUGAAGCUGUGUAUACCCAAUGCGCACCCACACCGUAUUUAAAUUUUUCUUUAACAGUACAGACAAUAAACAGUAACAGACACUGCAGCUUUCCUUAAUGAUUAAUGGUUUAAUGAAGAAUAUUGAUUUCCGUGUAACUAUGGACAGCACCAGCAGCACUAACCUUUCUGCACAUGAUUCUCCUCAGUGAUCAACAAUCCUUUUUCAUGUGCAUUUUUACAGACAUAAGGUAAUAACAUGCAAGUGAAUUUAGAGGUAAUUCAAAAUGUCUUUAUGGAAAAGUUUGUUUUUUGAACAGUUGUUCAUGUUCAUUUGGCAACACAUGUUAAUAUGUUUAAACCUUUGUCUUUAUUAUUGUAGUGGUUUCUGAAUUAUUUACCCUUGUGCUCUGCCUUUUCCACCCGGCGUUUUAAUUUCUAUUGAGUUGCUUGG